RNAcentral lists this transfer RNA (55 nucleotides) under Trioza erytreae. Its description in RNAcentral is "tRNA-Ser". Lineage: Eukaryota; Metazoa; Arthropoda; Insecta; Hemiptera; Triozidae. The record is from RNAcentral.
GAGUCUCCGAGGAAGCUGCUAACUACCUCAAAGCAAUAUUAUUGUUAGACACCCC